UACGUAGGGUGCAAGCAUUAAUCGGAAUUAUUGGGCGUAUAGGGCGUGUAGGCGGGAGUGUAAGUCAGAUGUGAAAUCCCGGGGCUCAACCCCGGAACAGCAUUUGAAACUGCAUUUCUAGAGGGUAGGCGGAGAAAAUGGAAUUCCACAAGUAGCGGUGAAAUGCGUAGAUAUGUGGAAGAACACCAGUGGCGAAAGCGAUUUUCUAGCUUAUACCUGACGCUGAGGCGCGAAAGCAAGGGGAUCAAACAGG
This 253-nucleotide ribosomal RNA is filed under the name uncultured bacterium. RNAcentral describes it as "partial 16S ribosomal RNA". It matches the Rfam family "Bacterial small subunit ribosomal RNA", at positions 524 to 776 of the family's 1533-position model. The record is from RNAcentral.